Anopheles maculatus is the source of this 56-nucleotide non-coding RNA. NCBI's taxonomy places the organism in Eukaryota, Metazoa, Arthropoda, Insecta, Diptera, Culicidae. The record is from Rfam.
GCCGGCUUAGCUCAGUAGGUAGAGCAACUGACUUGUAAUCAGUAGGUCACCAGUUC